Long non-coding RNA from Carica papaya (papaya), 657 nucleotides. RefSeq lists it as uncharacterized. Lineage: Eukaryota; Viridiplantae; Streptophyta; Magnoliopsida; Brassicales; Caricaceae. The record is from RefSeq and is a predicted model, not a curated record.
AAAGAGAAGAGAGAGGAAGAACGUAGCGGAUCCUAGAGGGAGAGGAAGAAGCAGACCUACAGGUUACGUCUUAGGUAAAUUCCAGCGAAAACAUAGGGCUGAAAGCUUUAUCCUAGAAGGAGAUAUUAAGGGACGAACACCAGUGGCUCAGGUAAGCAUGAUGAGAUCCCUGCUUAAACUUUACGAAUUUUUUUAGAAUCUUAGGGUGCUCAAAAAACUCUGAAAUUUUGUGGAGUUAUAGGGCCACCUUUAAAAAAAAUUUAGAAUCAAGAAUCAAAGAAGGCGGACUAUCCUAGAGGGAGAAACAACUCUCCAAUGACUGAAAGGUCCAGAAGGCAACUAUGGUGAGUAGCGAGUUUUCUAGUACUCCGGUUUUUAAAUUUUUUAGACACCUAAAUGAAGUCUAAAAUUAUGAAAUUUAUGCAAAAAUAGCCUUAUGCGUUAGGAAAAUUUUGGAGCAAAAAUAAAGCAAAAUGCUUCUUUCUAGAGGGAGAACCACAGGUAGAAGCACUCAGCACUCAAGCUGAUUCUGAGUGAAAUUGGAAGAAGCUAUGGGUGACAAAUUUUGUAACGUCUGCUCAUUUCUGUGCUUAAUUUGUAUUUGGAAAAUCCUAAUUAUUUGGGCCUAAGACCACGCGGAACUUAUUUAUUUUAUUA